GACGAACGCUGGCGGCGUGCUUAACACAUGCAAGUCGAGCGGUAAGGCCCUUUCGGGGGUACACGAGCGGCGAACGGGUGAGUAACACGUGGGUGACCUGCCCUCAGCUCUGGGAUAAGCCUGGGAAACCGGGUCUAAUACUGGAUAUGACUCCAUGACGCAUGUUGUGGGGUGGAAAGCCUUGUGCGGCUGAGGAUGGGCCCGCGGCCUAUCAGCUUGUUGGUGGGGUNAGGCCUACCAAGGCGACGACGGGUAGCCGGCCUGAGAGGGCGACCGGCCACACUGGGACUGAGACACGGCCCAGACUCCUACGGGAGGCAGCAGUGGGGAAUCUUGCGCAAUGGGCGAAAGCCUGACGCAGCGACGCCGCGUGAGGGAUGACGGCCUGGUGUAACU
This 396-nucleotide ribosomal RNA is filed under the name uncultured bacterium. Its description in RNAcentral is "bacterial SSU rRNA". It matches the Rfam family "Bacterial small subunit ribosomal RNA", at positions 28 to 430 of the family's 1533-position model. The record is from RNAcentral.